RNAcentral lists this ribosomal RNA (279 nucleotides) under uncultured bacterium. RNAcentral describes it as "partial 16S ribosomal RNA". It matches the Rfam family "Bacterial small subunit ribosomal RNA", at positions 506 to 784 of the family's 1533-position model. The record is from RNAcentral.
UGCCAGCAGCCGCGGUAAUACGGAGGGGGCAAGCGUUAAUCGGAAUCACUGGGCGUAAAGCGCACGUAGGCGGCUUGGUAAGUCAGGGGUGAAAGCCCACAGCCCAACUGUGGAACUGCCUUUGAUACUGCCAGGCUUGAGUACCGGAGAGGGUGGCGGAAUUCCAGGUGUAGGAGUGAAAUCCGUAGAUAUCUGGAGGAACACCGGUGGCGAAGGCGGCCACCUGGACGGUAACUGACGCUGAGGUGCGAAAGCGUGGGUAGCAAACAGGAUUAGAUA